AUUGAACGCUGGCGGCAGGCUUAACACAUGCAAGUCGAGCGGGGUGAUGGUGCUUGCACUAUCACUUAGCGGCGGACGGGUGAGUAAUGCUUAGGAAUCUGCCUAUUAGUGGGGGACAACAUCUCGAAAGGGAUGCUAAUACCGCAUACGUCCUACGGGAGAUAGCAGGGGAUCACUUGUGACCUUGCGCUAAUAGAUGAGCCUAAGUCGGAUUAGCUAGUUGGUGGGGUAAAGGCCUACCAAGGCGACGAUCUGUAGCGGGUCUGAGAGGAUGAUCCGCCACACUGGGACUGAGACACGGCCCAGACUCCUACGGGAGGCAGCAGUGGGGAAUAUUGGACAAUGGGGGGAACCCUGAUCCAGCCAUGCCGCGUGUGUGAAGAAGGCCUUAUGGUUGUAAAGCACUUUCAGCGAGGAGGAGGCUCUUUUUUUUCCUACCCAAGAUGAGUGGACGUUACUCGCAGAAUAAGCACCGGCUAACUCUGUGCCAGCCGCCGCCGUAA
This 503-nucleotide ribosomal RNA is filed under the name uncultured bacterium. RNAcentral describes it as "partial 16S ribosomal RNA". It matches the Rfam family "Bacterial small subunit ribosomal RNA", at positions 30 to 523 of the family's 1533-position model. The record is from RNAcentral.